UUAUUUAGGAAAGAGUAGGUAUUACAAAAAUAUAAAUGUUAAUUUAAAAGUUUUACAAAAAAUAAUAAACAUUCGAAACCAAGAAACCAGUUAUUAAAAUAGCCGUCUUGCUAAUAAAUUAUUGUUAAGUUAAAACGGAAAUCGUGUAAAUGAAUAAAUUUUACGUCUAACUCGCAGUAGGUAAUUAUUAUGCCAAAAAAGGAAAAAAUCAUCUAGUAUGUCUUAAAAGUUCUCUUUUUUUUAAAAUUACAACAAUUUAAGUCAACAUAUUUUUUAGAAUUAAUUAAUAAAUUUAGGGCAUACUAGUCGCUAUCCUUUUCAUUUCCGAACUGGAGCUUCACGGUAACUGCACUAAUUACUUACUUAGAUAGGAAUUGGCAGGUAUUGCGCAACAAUGCGAACAAUCAUGCUAUACUAUUAACACCGGCAGGUAUUUCGCUAUGCGAUAAUCAUGCUAUGUGUUACGCUAAGUAAUGAUUAGGGUUUUUACCGCUUUUCUUCGGGCCUACUAAUGGGAACAUCAGUUGAUGGUGGAGGACGGAUGACGUAUUGAGCUUCCUGACACCACAGCAGGUAUUGUCUUCACAUCCUUCGAUCGUUCAAUUAAUUUGGACGAUCAAAAAACUUUUGCUUUUGUCUUCCCUUCUUUUUUGACAUAAGUAUAAAUUUUUAUUUUUCAGUACUAGAAAGUACGCACCUAAUAUGCUUUGACGAUUUAUUUAAAGACUUCUUUCUUGAAUUUUAUUUGAUGUUUAAAAUAAAUUAUUUGAUUGUGAGAAUUAUUUUGAAUAUUUCGCAUAUAAAAGUUUGAAAUAGUACUAGGUUCUAUAUCUAGGUCCCUUAGGUACUCUUCAGUGAUUGAAAAUUUUAUUUGAAAAUCUUCAAAUAGGUAAGUGACGUAUUUUGAGCAUAUUAAUGCUAAUAAAAUGCGACGAUCGUUCCUAUGCCAUAAGUGCUUAUAUUUAAAAACUGAUACAAACGAAAAGUUGAAAAAGUAAGAAAAAAAAAAUACUUAAGGACUGACUAAAAGAAAACUUAUGAUUAUACAUCUGAUUGUGACAAAAAUAAUAAGUUAUAUGAUUUCGCCCAACAUGGUGAACACCCACAUUCUCUAACUAAUUAUAUGAUUAAAAUACGAAAUGUGCUUAGUUGAUGUACAUAUUGAGGUUCUUAAACAUUUUUCAGAAUCCAGUGGUUCUAUGUAGUUUUUCUAGAAUUAACAUUUUCUUUGUGCUUAAGAUUAUUAGGAACUGUUAAAAUAUUUCAAUUUAAGAUGUGUUAAAUCCGUUACGUUACUAUAAAUACCCACAUCAUUUGGCUGGCAUGAUGUCAAGAUCUUUUUCUAUUUAGUACCAAUUUCCCACCCCUUGUCGCUUUGACGGCCCUUUUCAAAACUUUCAUUUCGAGUUUUAAAAGCCCAAAAUCAAAGCAGUCAUUCUUUUUCAGGCAUCGUGGGACCAAAAUUUGACAACUGCAUUUGUGUAGGUUUUCAUUUGCAGUUGUCAGCUUAGUCAUUGAUUUCGGUCAAUUGACGAUUUUUUGUGGACUACAACCUUAGGUUUCACGACCUAAAACCGUAGUCCUGACCUUGACCAGCAAUGGUCGAGGGAAACUCAAUCAAGUUAGUACCAAUUUCCCAUCCUUUGUCGCUGACUUUAUGCCAGUUUUGACGUUGCUCCCAGAGCUUUUAUUUCGGGUUUCAAAAACCUAAAAUCAAAGCAGUCAUUCUUUUUCAGGCAUCGUGGGACCAAAAUUUGACAACUGCAUUUGUGUAGGUUUUCAUUUGCAGUUGUCAGCUUAGUCAUUGAUUUCGGUCAAUUGACGAUUUUUUGUGGACUACAACCUUAGGUUUCACGACCUAAAACCGUAGUCCUGACCUUGACCAGCAAUGGUCGAGGGAAACUCAAUCAAGUUAGUACCAAUUUCCCAUCCUUUGUCGCUGACUUUAUGCCAGUUUUGACGUUGCUCCCAGAGCUUUUAUUUCGGGUUUCAAAAACCUAAAAUCAAAGCAGUCAUUCUUUUUCAGGCAUCGUGGGACCAAAAUUUGACAACUGCAUUUGUGUAGGUUUUCAUUUGCAGUUGUCAGCUUAGUCAUUGAUUUCGGUCAAUUGACGAUUUUUUGUGGACUACAACCUUAGGUUUCACGACCUAAAACCGUAGUCCUGCCUUGACCAGCAAUGGUCGAGGGAUUUAAUUUAAAUUAGUGCCAAACUCCCUACCCGAUGUCGUUGACUUUGGUCAGCUUUGACGUUCCUUUCCUAAAGCUAAGAUUUUGGACUUUUAAAACCUAAAAUCAUGGUGAUCAAUUUCGGGCAUCGUGGGAAAGCCCUGACUUGCGACUGUCAUCGCAGUUAUUGACUUUGUGCCAACUACUAACGGCUUUUUUGAGAAUGUAUAAGUGUGGUUCACCCCUUAUUAGUAAUGGUCGAGGAAACUCUGAUUUAAGUUUCCCUCGCCUUGUUAUUGAUUUCAUGCCAGCUUUGAUGUUUCUUCCCCAAAUGUAUGAGUUUAGAUAUUAAUCUUAAUAUUGUUGCAUUAUUGCAGGUGUUACAUACCUAUUGUUUGAUUUUUAUGUGUAUAGUGAAGUGCCUUUUUAUGUAACGAUAUUUCUGUGUAGAUAUCGAUGGGGAUGUUUGCUUACUAAACUGGACAUCAGCCUGUAUUAUUCGUAUUGGAGCAAGUUUUUGAAGUGCCUGAACUACGUCGUGGUAAUUAGAAGGGUAACAACCAAGUUGUCAUAAAAUUAUGUAUAAAAUACGCUUUCUAUAUAAAUUAUUUAUUAACAAUUUUCAUGUGAAAUGGUCAAUUGAAAGCGUAUUUUUUACUUAAUUAAACGAUAUUUCUCUGUAGAUAUCGAUGGUGAUGUGUUUGCUUACUAAACUGGACAUCCGCUUGUAUUCUUCGUAACGGAGCAACUUUUUGAAGUGCCUGAACUACGUCGUGGUUAAUUACAAGGGUAACAACCAAGUCGUCAUAAAAUUGAGUAUAAAAUAGGCUUUCUAUGUAAAUUAUUUAUUAACAUAUUUUAUGUGAAAUGGUCAAUUGAAAGCGUAUUUUUUACUUAAUUUUGUGUUUCAAUGAGAAAUUGGGUCCAGUCCAACUUUCCAUCAAGUUCUGGAGUUCAGAUUUUUGGUGCAACUAAAAGUGGAAUAUUCUUGACGCUAAUAAGUUAUCUUUCUUCCUAUUAACAUGGUCAAUGAAAUACUUAUUUUAAAAAUAGUCUCUUUUUAACUUCUAAACAUGCAAUUAUUGAAUAAAAUAAUUUUAGAAUGAAGCCGAUCCAGAUCCAGAUCUAGAUCCAGAUCCUGCCUGUAUGCCACAGCUCCGCUUAAAGAGAUGAAAAAUGGGAAGAUGUGUCAUGUCAGGACAACAGGGAGAAAUCACCUUCUGGACAUUUUAGUUGUGUUAUUGUAAUGUUCAGGUAUAUGAUUACUGCUUAGAGUGCUAAAUAUUCGUUAAAAGAUGAAUUAUCCUUAUUUAGUAAAUAUCUUGUUGCAUAUAAUGAAUAAUUUUUGUAUUUAAAGAUUUAAUUAGUUAAAUUGAUUUAGUUUGUUGUAUUGAAAAUUAACUGUAAGCAUUAGUUUAAGAUAUUUGUGUAUUUAUUUAAUAAGAUUAAUCUGUUUACUAACUUAGUAUAAGUCUUAGAGUAAUUUAAUUUUAGAUAGAUUAAGUAGUUAGUAGUAAUUAGUUUAAGAUAUUUGUGUAUUUAAUAAAAUUGAGGUAAUCUUGUUGCUUACUUAGUAUAAGAAUUAGAGUAAUAUAAUUUUAGAUAGAUUAAGUAGCUAGUAAUAAUUAGUUUAAGAUAUUUGUAUAUUUAAUAAAGUAACCGUCUUACUAACUUAGUAUAAGUCGUAGAAUAAUAUAGUUUUAGAUAGAUUUUAAGUAUUAUUAAAGGUAGGAACGUGUUAUUAUUUUUAUUACGGUAAUCUUUGUAAUUUCGCAAAACAUUCAUGUAAAUAAACAUACGCUUUUUUUCUUCUGUAAAUUAGUAAUAUUAAUACAAAUACAACUUCCUAC
Agrilus planipennis (emerald ash borer) is the source of this 4017-nucleotide long non-coding RNA. RefSeq lists it as uncharacterized. The record is from RefSeq and is a predicted model, not a curated record. NCBI's taxonomy places the organism in Eukaryota, Metazoa, Arthropoda, Insecta, Coleoptera, Buprestidae. The transcript is spliced from 3 exons.